Molecule: small nuclear RNA, 102 nt
Organism: Colobus angolensis palliatus
Lineage: Eukaryota; Metazoa; Chordata; Mammalia; Primates; Cercopithecidae
Source: Ensembl
CUGCUUGCUUGGGCACAUAUACUAUAAUUGAACGAUACAGAGAUUAGCAUGGCUGCUGUGCAAGAAUGACACAAAUUAAAUUGUUUAAAAAAGUAAACAUUU